RNAcentral lists this ribosomal RNA (433 nucleotides) under Cladosporium cladosporioides. RNAcentral describes it as "eukaryotic LSU rRNA". The stretch from base 88 to 241 matches the Rfam family "5.8S ribosomal RNA". The record is from RNAcentral. Lineage: Eukaryota; Fungi; Ascomycota; Dothideomycetes; Cladosporiales; Cladosporiaceae.
CUGACCUUACGGAGCGGGGAGCUCCGGGUGGACACUUCAAACUCUUGCGUAACUUUGCAGUCUGAGUAAACUUAAUUAAUAAAUUAAAACUUUUAACAACGGAUCUCUUGGUUCUGGCAUCGAUGAAGAACGCAGCGAAAUGCGAUAAGUAAUGUGAAUUGCAGAAUUCAGUGAAUCAUCGAAUCUUUGAACGCACAUUGCGCCCCCUGGUAUUCCGGGGGGCAUGCCUGUUCGAGCGUCAUUUCACCACUCAAGCCUCGCUUGGUAUUGGGCAACGCGGUCCUGCCGCGUGCCUCAAAUCGACCGGCUGGGUCUUCUGUCCCCUAAGCGUUGUGGAAACUAUUCGCUAAAGGGUGCUCGGGAGGCUACGCCGUAAAACAAACCCAUUUCUAAGGUUGACCUCGGAUCAGGUAGGGAUACCCGCUGAACUUAA